RNAcentral lists this ribosomal RNA (514 nucleotides) under uncultured bacterium. Its description in RNAcentral is "bacterial SSU rRNA". It matches the Rfam family "Bacterial small subunit ribosomal RNA", at positions 18 to 518 of the family's 1533-position model. The record is from RNAcentral.
UCUGGCUCAGAACGAACGCUGGCGGCGCGUCUUAAGCAUGCAAGUCGGACGGCAAGGGGAGCUUGCUCCCCCCUAGAGUGGCGGACUGGUGAGUAACGCGUGGGUGACCUACCCUUGAGAUGGGGAUAGCCAUUAGAAAUAGUGGAUAAUACCGAAUACGCUCUUUUUUGCUGUGGCGAGAAGAGGAAACAGGCUACGGCCUGGCUCGAGGAUGGGCCCGCGUCCCAUUAGCUAGUUGGUGAAGUAACGGCCCACCAAGGCGACGAUGGGUAUCCGGCCUGAGAGGGUGUACGGACACAUUGGGACUGAGAUACGGCCCAAACUCCUACGGGAGGCAGCAGCUAAGAAUAUUCCGCAAUGGACGAAAGUCUGACGGAGCGACGCCGCGUGGAUGAAGAAGGCCGAAAAAGGUUGUAAAAUCCUUUUGCUGAUGAAGAAUAAGUGGUGUAGGGAAUGACAUCAUGAUGACAUUAGUCGGUGAAUAAGCCCCGGCUAACUACGUGCCAGCAGCAGC